AUUUAAGUAGCUUAUUUAGAGCAUAAUAUUGAAGAUAUUAAGGUAAUUUUCAAAAUUUUUAAAUA
Molecule: transfer RNA, 65 nt
Filed under: Curculionoidea sp. 10 KM-2017
Lineage: Eukaryota; Metazoa; Arthropoda; Insecta; Coleoptera
Description: tRNA-Phe
Source: RNAcentral